This is a long non-coding RNA of Populus nigra (black poplar), 1928 nucleotides long. RefSeq lists it as uncharacterized. NCBI's taxonomy places the organism in Eukaryota, Viridiplantae, Streptophyta, Magnoliopsida, Malpighiales, Salicaceae. The transcript is spliced from 3 exons. The record is from RefSeq and is a predicted model, not a curated record.
GGGACUUCAUUUCUCCGAUAUAGCAGGAUUUUUUUGAGAUUAUUAUUAGAAAAAUAUUGAAGAGGGCCCGUCCUAGCUACUCUCCACCAACUACCAUAAUAAGGUGGAUAGGCAAGUCUCAGACCCUCUAUGUUAAUUACUGCCUAUAUGUAUUUUGGAGUCCCUUCCAAAUUCGCAGAAUUGUGUGUUCUUCUUCAUCCAAUCCUCAGCACAUAAGAGAUCAGCACUGCAGAAAUGGAUGCACCGUCACAGCAAGAGAUGUCAUCCUAUGAUCACGUUAAGAGACGCCACGAGGACAAAGGCUGCCUCUAUGCCUUCUUCUUCGCUCUAUGUUGCUGCUGUUGCUGCAGUGAAACUUGUGAGUGCUGUCGCCGCAGUGAAACUUGUGAGCUCCGUUGCCUCAGUGGAACUUGUGAGUGCUGUGUGCAGCUGUGUGCAGUGUCGCUGCUGUGCUUAGAUCACUAGUCCAAGAAAUGGAAGUAGUAUGAACUUUUCCCCUGAAUUUUAGAUUGGCCAUGGGUUUUUUUUUUUUUUUACAUUUUGAUCUCCUUGUUUUGAAUUUUGUUCAUUCUUAAACAAAUUAAUUAUCAAAUUAGAUAAAAAAAACUGCAAUUAAAAAAUAAAAUGUGAAGGACUGGAAAAAAAAAAAGAGCUUUAGCUUUUGUUAUAAUAACUACUACUAUAAUUUGCCAUUUUAGUUACUUGUUAAGCAAAAAGGGCAAGAAUGAAUGAAGAACCUCCCUUCAAUUCAUGUGAAAUGGAGAGCAAGUGGAGCUUCUUCACCAAACGAGUUGGAAGCUCAUUCUCAUUCUAGCAAAUCUUAUCUUUCUCAUGCUGAUCCUCCUCUGCAAAAUCUAACUUUGAAAUGCCUUGAUUAGCCACUAAUCUAUCAAGCAGGUAUAGUAUAAGCUUCUUUUUUCUUUUAAUAAUAAAUUGGAAAACAUUUUUCCCUCCCUAAAUGCUAAUUUGUUAUCCGUUAAUUGGUAUUCUAAAGUGAUGCUCAACAUUAAAAAGUCGGGGAAUUAAUCAGUGCCUGACAAGCGUUGGCAUAUUAACGUUGACAUAUUAACGUUGACAUAUAACUGCCUGCGGGCUAGAACAUUAAACAUUGUCGUGUGGAAGAAGGCUCUAAGAAGAUGGACUUCAUUUCUCAGAUAUAGCAGGAUUUUUUUUAGAUUAUUAUUAGAAAAAUAUUGAAGAGGGCCCGUCCUAGCUACUCUCCAACAACUACCAUAAUAAGGUGGAUAGGCAAGUCUCAGACCCUCUAUGUUACUGCCUAUAUGUAUUUUGGAGUCCCUUCCAAAUUCGCAGAAUUGUGUGUUCUUCUUCAUCCAAUCCUCAGCACAUAAGAGAUCAGCACUGCAGAAAUGGAUGCACCGUCACAGCAAGAGAUGUCAUACUAUGAUCACGUUAAGAGACGCCAUGAGGACAAAGGCUGCCUCUAUGCCUUCUUCUUCGCUCUAUGUUGCUGCUGUUGCUGCAGUGAAACUUGUGAAUGCUGUAUGAAGUGUUGCUGCUGUGCUUAGAUCACCAGUCCAAGAAAUGGAAGUAGUAUGAAGAUGAAAGUAAUUCAAUAUUUUCCAUGUUCCGUAAUUUUCCAAUUGUGUGAAGUCUCAUCAGCUUGUUCGCUCUAUGUUGCUGCCGUGAAACUUGUGAGUGCUGUGUGCAGGGUUGCUGCUGUGCUUAGAUCACUAGUCCAGGAAAUGGAAGUAGUGUGAAGAUGAAUGUAAUUCCAUAUAUUUUCCAUGUUCCGUAAUUUUCCAAUUGUGUGAGUCUCAUCAGCAUGUAAAAAGUUGGUUCUUUUUCAUGUUAGUUCUUUGAAACAUUAGCUUCGUGAUCCAUGUGAGAUGUGUUCGAUCACCAGUUAGGUCUGUUCGUUGAUUGUAGUAUGUGUUUUCGGGGAUAAACUGCGGAGUUUUUUCUUAUAA